Molecule: long non-coding RNA, 288 nt
Filed under: Homo sapiens (human)
Lineage: Eukaryota; Metazoa; Chordata; Mammalia; Primates; Hominidae
Description: non-protein coding LINC00927:46
Source: RNAcentral
CCAGAAGUUCUCAGAGGGUGAGGGUCCCACAUCUCCUGCAGGACAGGCCCUAGCUACUGAGUCACAGAAACCCAGGGCCGAAGCAAAGUCCCAAUCCCAGAGAGGCUGGGGCACACCUACAACUGAAAGGAGGCUUAGAAAUCCUUCAGAGACCACCCUAUCGGUUCUCCUCCACCUGGACAGGAUGAGCCAGCAACACAGAAGGAAGAGGCCUUCCUCCGAAAGGUAUAUUUGUAAGCCGAGUUGAAUGCUUUGUGGAGAGAGGAUUCUUUACCCACGGCUUCCUUC